This 465-nucleotide ribosomal RNA is filed under the name Vreelandella stevensii. Its description in RNAcentral is "partial 16S ribosomal RNA". It matches the Rfam family "Bacterial small subunit ribosomal RNA", at positions 338 to 795 of the family's 1533-position model. Lineage: Bacteria; Pseudomonadati; Pseudomonadota; Gammaproteobacteria; Oceanospirillales; Halomonadaceae. The record is from RNAcentral.
CCUACGGGGGGCUGCAGUGGGGAAUAUUGGACAAUGGGGGGAACCCUGAUCCAGCCAUGCCGCGUGUGUGAAGAAGGCCCUCGGGUUGUAAAGCACUUUCAGUGAGGAAGAACGCCUGGUGGUUAAUACCCAUCAGGAAAGACAUCACUCACAGAAGAAGCACCGGCUAACUCCGUGCCAGCAGCCGCGGUAAUACGGAGGGUGCGAGCGUUAAUCGGAAUUACUGGGCGUAAAGCGCGCGUAGGUGGCUUGAUAAGCCGGUUGUGAAAGCCCCGGGCUCAACCUGGGAACGGCAUCCGGAACUGUCAAGCUAGAGUGCAGGAGAGGAAGGUAGAAUUCCCGGUGUAGCGGUGAAAUGCGUAGAGAUCGGGAGGAAUACCAGUGGCGAAGGCGGCCUUCUGGACUGACACUGACACUGAGGUGCGAAAGCGUGGGUAGCACACAGGAUUAGAUACCCUGGUAGUC